GGUUAUAGCUUAGUGGUAGAGAGCGUGCUUAGCAUGCACAAGGUCCUGGGUUCAAUUCCUGGUACCUCCA
This 70-nucleotide transfer RNA is filed under the name Camelus bactrianus (Bactrian camel). It matches the Rfam family "tRNA". Rfam says of the family: Transfer RNA (tRNA) molecules are approximately 80 nucleotides in length. Their secondary structure includes four short double-helical elements and three loops (D, anti-codon, and T loops). Further hydrogen bonds mediate the characteristic L-shaped molecular structure. tRNAs have two regions of fundamental functional importance: the anti-codon, which is responsible for specific mRNA codon recognition, and the 3' end, to which the tRNAs corresponding amino acid is attached (by aminoacyl-tRNA synthetases). tRNAs cope with the degeneracy of the genetic code in two manners: having more than one tRNA (with a specific anti-codon) for a particular amino acid; and 'wobble' base-pairing, i.e. permitting non-standard base-pairing at the 3rd anti-codon position. The record is from Rfam by way of RNAcentral. Lineage: Eukaryota; Metazoa; Chordata; Mammalia; Artiodactyla; Camelidae. RNAcentral also lists the same sequence under 3 other names.